CCUACGGGAGACAGCAGUGGGGGAUAUUGCACAAUGGGGGGAACCCUGAUGCAGCGACGCCGCGUGGGUGAAGGAGUGCUUCGGCAUGUAAAGCCCUAUCGGCAGGGAAGAAGCAAGACGGUACCUGACUAAGAAGCACCGACUAACUACGUGCCAGCAGCCGCGGUAAUACGUAGGGGGCGAGCGUUAUCCGGAUUCACUGGGUGUAAAGGGAGCGUAGAGGGACAUGCAAGCCAGGGGUGAAAGCCCGGGGCCCAACCCCGGGACUGCCCUUGGAACUGUGCGGCUAGAGUGCGGGAGGGGCAGGCGGAAUUCGUGGUGUAGCGGUGAAAUGCGUAGAUAUCAGGAGGAACACCGGCGGCGAAGGCGGCCUGCUGGACUGCGACUGACGUUGAGGCUCGAAAGCGUGGGGAGCGAACAGGAUUAGAUACCCUGGUAGUC
This 441-nucleotide ribosomal RNA is filed under the name uncultured bacterium. RNAcentral describes it as "partial 16S ribosomal RNA". It matches the Rfam family "Bacterial small subunit ribosomal RNA", at positions 338 to 795 of the family's 1533-position model. The record is from RNAcentral.